This is a non-coding RNA of Dipodomys ordii (Ord's kangaroo rat), 65 nucleotides long. NCBI's taxonomy places the organism in Eukaryota, Metazoa, Chordata, Mammalia, Rodentia, Heteromyidae. The record is from Rfam.
GGUGACUCAGUGGUAGAGUGCUUGCCUUGCAUGCAUGAGGCCAUGGGUUCGAUUCCUCAGCACCA